CUCUCCCUCUUUCUUCCUGCUUAACACAUGCAAGUCGAGCGGGCAUCCUUGUGGUGUCAGCGGCAGACGGGUGAGUAACGCGUGGGAACGUGCCCUUCGGUUCGGAAUAACUCAGGGAAACUUGAGCUAAUACCGGAUACGUGCGAGAGCAGAAAGGUUUAUCUGCCGAAGGAUCGGCCCGCGUCUGAUUAGCUAGUUGGUGAGGUUACGGCUCACCAAGGCGACGAUCAGUAGCUGGUCUGAGAGGAUGAUCAGCCACACUGGGACUGAGACACGGCCCAGACUCCUACGGGAGGCAGCAGUGGGGAAUAUUGGACAAUGGGGGCAACCCUGAUCCAGCCAUGCCGCGUGAGUGAUGACGGCCUUAGGGUUGUAAAGCUCUUUUCUCCGGGACGAUAAUGACGGUACCGGAGGAAUAAGCCCCGGCUAACUUCGUG
Molecule: ribosomal RNA, 437 nt
Filed under: uncultured bacterium
Lineage: Bacteria
Description: partial 16S ribosomal RNA
Rfam family: Bacterial small subunit ribosomal RNA
Source: RNAcentral